UACAGAGACUGCAAGCGUUAUUCGGAUUCACUGGGCGUAAAGGGUGCGCAGGCGGCCAAGUGUGUGAGGCGUGAAAGCCCGGGGCUUAACCCCGGAAUUGCACCUCAAACUACAUGGCUAGAGCAUUGGAGAGGGUAGCAGAAUUCAUGGGUGUAGCAGUGAAAUGCGUAGAUAUCAUGAGGAAUACCAGAGGCGAAGGCGGCUACCUGGACAAUUGCUGACGUUCAGGCACGAAAGCGUGGGGAGCAAAAGGG
Molecule: ribosomal RNA, 254 nt
Filed under: uncultured bacterium
Lineage: Bacteria
Description: partial 16S ribosomal RNA
Rfam family: Bacterial small subunit ribosomal RNA
Source: RNAcentral